Molecule: ribosomal RNA, 438 nt
Filed under: uncultured Geobacillus sp.
Lineage: Bacteria; Bacillati; Bacillota; Bacilli; Caryophanales; Anoxybacillaceae
Description: bacterial SSU rRNA
Rfam family: Bacterial small subunit ribosomal RNA
Source: RNAcentral
GGUUAAUUCGAAGCAACGCGAAGAACCUUACCAGGUCUUGACAUCCCUGACAACCCAAGAGAUUGGGCGUUCCCCUUCGGGGGACAGGGUGACAGGUGGUGCAUGGUUGUCGUCAGCUCGUGUCGUGAGAUGUUGGGUUAAGUCCCGCAACGAGCGCAACCCUCGCCUCUAGUUGCCAGCAUUCGGUUGGGCACUCUAGAGGGACUGCCGGCGACAAGUCGGAGGAAGGUGGGGAUGACGUCAAAUCAUCAUGCCCCUUAUGACCUGGGCUACACACGUGCUACAAUGGGCGGUACAAAGGGCUGCGAACCCGCGAGGGGGAGCGAAUCCCAAAAAGCCAUCCUCAGUUCGGAUUGGAGUCUGCAACUCGACUCCAUGAAGUCGGAAUCGCUAGUAAUCGCGGAUCAGCACGCCGCGGUGAAUACGUUCCCGGGCCUU